Molecule: long non-coding RNA, 1468 nt
Organism: Ictalurus punctatus (channel catfish)
Lineage: Eukaryota; Metazoa; Chordata; Actinopteri; Siluriformes; Ictaluridae
Source: Ensembl
GGGGAAUAACUUUUCCACGAUAUUCUCAUUUUUUGAGAUGCACCUCUACCUAAGGGUGUGCAAACUUUUGCACGCAACACUAUCAAAUCGCAUACAGUAUAAUCAUGAAAACUGGCAAGAGGUACACUAGCCUAACUUUGAUCAUUUCAGUGUGUGUGUGUGUGUAGUUUUUAAGAUAUCUACUAAGUAUGCUGUGUCCUGCCUCUAUAAUGUCAUGUAGCCUUGUCCAGUGUGGCUGCGCUCGAUUUGCGCAGAUUAAACACUCUCAUUAGGUCAAUGAAGCACCAGGAGGGUCGCGUGAGGGGCGGGACCGCGAGCCAAAAAAACGGAAAGUCACGGCUAGUGCAGACUUCCUUUCUCCAAGGUGUCACAUCCAGGCAAAAAAAAAAGAGAGAGAGAGAGAGGAAAAAGUCGACAAAAACAAGGUUUCUCUCCAGAACCAUUUUGAAUGCUCUGGGAAAAAACCCCGAGGCGCGUGCAAAAAGUUCAAGCAGGCCUUUUCUUUCAAACACUCCAUGAAAAGUGGGCUCCGGUGUUGUUUACAUGAUUUUUAAAGGAUAAAAUACUCCUACACGGAUAAGGUGGAUACAAUGGCUGACCAGGAAAUAUCUAUGGAUGACAGUAUAACAGAAGAAUCAAACGGUUCGAAGUCUCAGUUUGAAUCUUUUCGACGGGUUUGUUCGAAAGAAUCGAAUCUGUAAAACUGACUCGUGAUGGCCAUCCCUGAACGGCGCAGCGCGGAGUCACGUGGUACAGUGCUGGAGAGCGCUGAGUCAAUGCAGCAAAAAGUCCGCGUGCCUCAUUACCGCCGUCAUCUUCAUCAUCUCUGGUGAAACCGCAAGGAGCUUCUCAGCCUGGUCCUGAUGGAGAUCUGUCAGUCUGACCUCAUCUCUGUUUGACUGAUAUAAGUGAUCGAUCCUCGUUCCAGGGAGGGGAAGAUUGGUCAGAAGUGUUAAGUGUUCGGUUUUUUUGCGCUCCGCUCUCACCACCUUCGCGUUUGUGGACGGCUGCGUGCUUUUCAAAAACGUCCUGUGUGUUUUCCAGAAACGAAACUAUCCCGACGCAGCCAAGCAAGAGCUCGGCCUCGGUGGGAACUUUUUAAGAAAAGCCUCCGGCGUGGACGUCCGUUAUGAUUUGUUGCUUUGAUUUUGUUUAACAGUCGUUUUGGUCAAUACAGGAUUCUGUACGUGAUAUUUCAUAGUCCGUAGUAAAAGUAUGGUUGUAAAAAUUCCGUGUGGGUGUGUGGAGAGGACUGGACUUUCUGUGGUUCCUUUUCAAAGAUAGGCGAGCUAAUGAUUAUGACGGUAACGAAUACACGGAGAGAGAGAGAGAGAGAGAGAGAGAGAGACACACACAGAGAGAGAGAGAGACACACACACAGAGAGAGAGACACACACACACUCAGAGAGAGACACACAAAGAGACACACACAGAGAGAGUGACACACAGAGAGAGAGAGGGACAGUGA